UACGGAGGAUGCGAGCGUUAUCCGGAUUUAUUGGGUUUAAAGGGUGCGUAGGCGGGCUUUUAAGUCAGCGGUAAAAACGCGGGGCUCAACCCCGUCCGGCCGUUGAAACUGGGGGCCUUGAGUGGGCGAGAAGAAGGCGGAAUGCGUGGUGUAGCGGUGAAAUGCAUAGAUAUCACGCAGAACCCCGAUUGCGAAGGCAGCCUUCCGGCGCCCUACUGACGCUGAGGCACGAAAGUGCGGGGAUCGAACAGG
RNAcentral lists this ribosomal RNA (252 nucleotides) under uncultured bacterium. RNAcentral's name for it is "partial 16S ribosomal RNA". It matches the Rfam family "Bacterial small subunit ribosomal RNA", at positions 524 to 776 of the family's 1533-position model. The record is from RNAcentral.